Molecule: ribosomal RNA, 618 nt
Filed under: uncultured bacterium
Lineage: Bacteria
Description: bacterial SSU rRNA
Rfam family: Bacterial small subunit ribosomal RNA
Source: RNAcentral
UGCAGUCGAGCGGUAGAGAGGUGCUUGCACCUCUUGAGAGCGGCGGACGGGCGAGUAAAGCCUAGGAAUCUGCCUGGUAGUGGGGGAUAACGCUCGGAAACGGACGCUAAUACCGCAUACGUCCUACGGGAGAAAGCAGGGGACCUUCGGGCCUUGCGCUAUCAGAUGAGCCUAGGUCGGAUUAGCUAGUUGGUGAGGUAAUGGCUCACCAAGGCGACGAUCCGUAACUGGUCUGAGAGGAUGAUCAGUCACACUGGAACUGAGACACGGUCCAGACUCCUACGGGAGGCAGCAGUGGGGAAUAUUGGACAAUGGGCGAAAGCCUGAUCCAGCCAUGCCGCGUGUGUGAAGAAGGUCUUCGGAUUGUAAAGCACUUUAAGUUGGGAGGAAGGGCAUUAACCUAAUACGUUAGUGUUUUGACGUUACCGACAGAAUAAGCACCGGCUAACUCUGUGCCAGCAGCCGCGGUAAUACAGAGGGUGCAAGCGUUAAUCGGAAUUACUGGGCGUAAAGCGCGCGUAGGCGGUUCGUUAAGUUGGAUGUGAAAUCCCCGGGCUCAACCUGGGAACUGCAUUCAAAACUGUCGAGCUAGAGUAUGGUAGAGGGUGGUGGAAUUUC